GUUGAUCAGAGGACAGGAGCACCUUCCCUGCAAAGGCAGAAUGAGGGAGUUGGGGCUGUUCAUCCUGGAGAAAAGAAGGUUGUAUGGAGACCUCACAGGAACAUUUCAGUAUAUGAAAGGGAAUACUGGAGAAGUGAUCCUUUGUCAGGAGCUGUACGGUAGGACAGAGAGUAAUGGGUUCAGACUGAAGGAGGGGGAAAUUAGAAAGAAAGAGGGGAAAGUUGCCCAGUUCAAGGCCAGGUUGGAUGGAGCCUUCAAACUGAUCUGAUGGAAGGUGUCUCUGCCCAUGGCAGGGGCAAUGAAACUAGAUGGUCUCAAAGUCCCUUCCUAACCAAACUAUUCUAUGAUUUUGUGAUCUGCCUUCUUUGUGAAUUACAUUUCUUCAUACUGCAGAAUUACCAGUGAAAUGAAUAAUUCUGACAGCAUCUGGGCUUAGGGAAGAUUUUGCUCUUUUUUCUGUUUAACAAACAGACUGCUCUUUAGUGAUCUUCUUAAGCACUUGAUUUUUAACUUUUCUGGGCAUCUCUACAAAAUAUCAGUACACAACAAAAAAAAUUGCUGAUCAAGUUAUGUAAAUCUUGAAAAAUUCAGUUUGGCAUUGUAUGGAGCCAUUCACUGGAAAAACUAACAUCAUCAUUCAAAUUUCUCUUUAAUGUCAUUUGUUGGACUGGAGAGAUAACAAAAGAAGCAGUUUUAUUCUGCUGGAGGAGAAGGGCCCUUAUGCAGGCAUUAGCAGAUAUGUCAGAAAAAAAAUAUCAAGGAAUUAAGAUUGUGGAUGUUUGGUCUUGGCUGGUGUCACUUCUGUGGCAAAAGCGUCACAGAAUAAAGUUUAUGUACAGAGGAAGUUACCUGGUUUACGAGGCGUGGGGAUCAGCAGUAUCUGUUUCAGGCUCAGUGGAAAGAAAUUACAUGAGGAUUAGAUGCCACACCUGGAGAAAGCAACUUGCUGGGUGAUUGCAACAGGUCUGCAAGAGAGGAGAACUGGAUGGAGGACUGGAGUGGGAAAGGGAGAUAGAAAUGGAAAUGGAGAGGAAGAUGCAUUUGGAAAGACAUUGAGGAAGGAGUACUCCAUCUGAGCUGAAAGGACUGGUUUGUCUUGGUAAAGAGAGUCUUUCUGCUGCAAAGUCUGGAUGUACAGCACAAGCCAGGGCAGGCGCUGGCGGCGCGGGAGCAGGAGGGGGC
Molecule: long non-coding RNA, 1182 nt
Organism: Serinus canaria (Common canary)
Lineage: Eukaryota; Metazoa; Chordata; Aves; Passeriformes; Fringillidae
Exons: 4
Source: RefSeq, a predicted model, not a curated record